RNAcentral lists this non-coding RNA (23 nucleotides) under Drosophila melanogaster (fruit fly). The record is from RNAcentral. Lineage: Eukaryota; Metazoa; Arthropoda; Insecta; Diptera; Drosophilidae. RNAcentral also lists the same sequence under 4 other names.
AAUUGGAACGAUACAGAGAAGAU